GCUGGCGGCAGGCCUAACACAUGCAAGUCGAACGGUAACAGGAAGAAGCUUGCUUCUUUGCUGACGAGUGGCGGACGGGUGAGUAAUGUCUGGGAAACUGCCUGAUGGAGGGGGAUAACUACUGGAAACGGUAGCUAAUACCGCAUAACGUCGCAAGACCAAAGAGGGGGACCUUCGGGCCUCUUGCCAUCGGAUGUGCCCAGAUGGGAUUAGCUAGUAGGUGGGGUAACGGCUCACCUAGGCGACGAUCCCUAGCUGGUCUGAGAGGAUGACCAGCCACACUGGAACUGAGACACGGUCCAGACUCCUACGGGAGGCAGCAGUGGGGAAUAUUGCACAAUGGGCGCAAGCCUGAUGCAGCCAUGCCGCGUGUAUGAAGAAGGCCUUCGGGUUGUAAAGUACUUUCAGCGGGGAGGAAGGGAGUAAAGUUAAUACCUUUGCUCAUUGACGUUACCCGCAGAAGAAGCACCGGCUAACUCCGUGCCAGCAGCCGCGGUAACACGGAGGGUGCAAGCGUUAAUCGGAAUUACUGGGCGUAAAGCGCACGCAGGCGGUUUGUUAAGUCAGAUGUGAAAUCCCCGGGCUCAACCUGGGAACUGCAUCUGAUACUGGCAAGCUUGAGUCUCGUAGAGGGGGGUAGAAUUCCAGGUGUAGCGGUGAAAUGCGUAGAGAUCUGGAGGAACACCGGUGGCGAAGGCGGCCCCCUGGACGAAGACUGACGCUCAGGUGCGAAAGCGUGGGGAGCAAACAGGAUUAGAUACCCUGGUAGUCCACGCCGUAAACGAUGUCGACUUGGAGGUUGUGCCCUUGAGGCGUGGCUUCCGGAGCUAACGCGUUAAGUCGACCGCCUGGGGAGUACGGCCGCAAGGUUAAAACUCAAAUGAAUUGACGGGGGCCCGCACAAGCGGUGGAGCAUGUGGUUUAAUUCGAUGCAACGCGAAGAACCUUACCUGGUCUUGACAUCCACGGAAGUUUUCAGAGAUGAGAAUGUGCCUUCGGGAACCGUGAGACAGGUGCUGCAUGGCUGUCGUCAGCUCGUGUUGUGAAAUGUUGGGUUAAGUCCCGCAACGAGCGCAACCCUUAUCCUUUGUUGCCAGCGGUCCGGCCGGGAACUCAAAGGAGACUGCCAGUGAUAAACUGGAGGAAGGUGGGGAUGACGUCAAGUCAUCAUGGCCCUUACGACCAGGGCUACACACGUGCUACAAUGGCGCAUACAAAGAGAAGCGACCUCGCGAGAGCAAGCGGACCUCAUAAAGUGCGUCGUAGUCCGGAUUGGAGUCUGCAACUCGACUCCAUGAAGUCGGAAUCGCUAGUAAUCGUGGAUCAGAAUGCCACGGUGAAUACGUUCCCGGGCCUUGUACACACCGCCCGUCACACCAUGGGAGUGGGUUGCAAAAGAAGUAGGUAGCUUAACCUUCGGGAGGGCGCUUACCACUUUGUGAUUCAUGACU
RNAcentral lists this ribosomal RNA (1451 nucleotides) under uncultured organism. RNAcentral describes it as "SSU rRNA". It matches the Rfam family "Bacterial small subunit ribosomal RNA". The record is from RNAcentral.